This 496-nucleotide ribosomal RNA is filed under the name uncultured bacterium. RNAcentral describes it as "partial 16S ribosomal RNA". It matches the Rfam family "Bacterial small subunit ribosomal RNA", at positions 28 to 506 of the family's 1533-position model. The record is from RNAcentral.
GAUGAACGCUGGCGGCGUGCCUAAUACAUGCAAGUCGAGCGAACAGACGAGGAGCUUGCUCCUCUGACGUUAGCGGCGGACGGGUGAGUAACACGUGGAUAACCUACCUAUAAGACUGGGAUAACUUCGGGAAACCGGAGCUAAUACCGGAUAAUAUAUUGAACCGCAUGGUUCAAUAGUGAAAGACGGUUUUGCUGUCACUUAUAGAUGGAUCCGCGCCGCAUUAGCUAGUUGGUAAGGUAACGGCUUACCAAGGCAACGAUGCGUAGCCGACCUGAGAGGGUGAUCGGCCACACUGGAACUGAGACACGGUCCAGACUCCUACGGGAGGCAGCAGUAGGGAAUCUUCCGCAAUGGGCGAAAGCUUGACGGAGCAACGCCGCGUGAGUGAUGAAGGUCUUCGGAUCGUAAAACUCUGUUAUUAGGGAAGAACAAAUGUGUAAGUAACUAUGCACGUCUUGCCGGUACCUAAUAAGAAAGCCCCGGCUACCUACGU